RNAcentral lists this ribosomal RNA (1185 nucleotides) under Triticum aestivum (bread wheat). Its description in RNAcentral is "partial small subunit ribosomal RNA". Lineage: Eukaryota; Viridiplantae; Streptophyta; Magnoliopsida; Poales; Poaceae. The record is from RNAcentral.
AUGCGGCUCUAUGUCAACUCGUUACUCUCAGUCGACUCUACACGCAGCUUCCACGGGUGGUGGGAUUGCUCAUUGUCGACAGGUGUUUCUACCUCGACCUCUUCUGCCAUGUCCCUAUCUGCGCGUGAGAUUGCGCAACUGCAAUGCCUGAUUGCUGCUUGGGAUUCUUCACCGUCUGGUUCUGCGGGUUCUGUGACUGACUCUUCUGGCACUGAGAAACCACCUUCUAAUCAUUCAGGUACAUCCCCAUGGAUUCUUGAUACCGGAGCAUCUUUUCAUAUGACUUAUGAUUCUUCCACUUUAACCUCCGUUCGACCUGUCGAGUCUCAUGUUCGUGUUCUUACAGCUGAUGGCACUCCCCUUGCUGUAGCUAGCCGAGGCACUCUUAGCACUUCUUCAUUUCAUGUUCCCUCUGUCGCUCAUGUUCCUCGACUUACCAUGCAGCUCAUAUCUAGUGGUCAGAUUGUUAACUCUAGUUGUAGGGUCAUUCUCGACUUUGAUUCGUGUUCUGUUCAGGACCGUCAUACUGGUGCUCUGCUUGGUGCUGGCCCACACCGCCCUGAUGGUCUUUGGGAGCUUGACUGGCUUCGUCUUCCCUCCGCUGCCACCACCGCCAGUCUCGCAGCCCCUGUUGCUGCAUCUACCAGCUCUUUUCAGCAGUGGCAUCAUUGUCUUGGCCAUUUAUGUGGUUCUCGUCUCUCAUCUUUGGUUCAUCGUGGUGUUCUGGGGUCUGUCUCCGGUAACGCUUCGUUGGAUUGUCUGGGUUGUAGACUUGGUAAGCAGAUUCAGCUACCCUAUCCUCACAGUGAGUCAGUGUCCGAGCGCCCUUUUGAUCUCGUUCACUCUGAUGUUUGGGGUCCGGCUCCCUUCGCUUCGAAAGGGGGUCAUCGCUACUAUAUUAUCUUUAUAGAUGAUUUUUCUCGGUACACUUGGAUAUAUUUCAUGUCUUCUCGUAGUGAGGUCUUAUCUAUUUACAAAAAAAUUGCUGCCAUGGUUCACACCCAGUUUGCCUCUCAUAUUCGUGUUUUUCACGCAGAUUCAGCUGGUGAGUAUAUCUCCCAGCGUUGCAAGGAUUCCUUGCUGAGCAGGGUACUCUUACUCAGUUCUCUUGCCCUGGUGCUCAUGCUCAGAAUGGUGUGGCUGAGCGCAAGCAUCGUCAUCUUCUUGAGACGGCGCGUGCGAUGA